GCCGGGCACGGUGGCUCAUGCCUGUAAUCCCAGCACCUUUGGGAGGCCGAGGUGGGUGGAUUGCUUGAGGUCAGGAGUUCAAGACCAGCCUGACCAACAUGGCGAACCCCCAUCUCUA
RNAcentral lists this non-coding RNA (118 nucleotides) under Pan paniscus (pygmy chimpanzee). The record is from Rfam by way of RNAcentral. Lineage: Eukaryota; Metazoa; Chordata; Mammalia; Primates; Hominidae. RNAcentral also lists the same sequence under 1 other name.